Molecule: long non-coding RNA, 866 nt
Filed under: Equus caballus (horse)
Lineage: Eukaryota; Metazoa; Chordata; Mammalia; Perissodactyla; Equidae
Description: lncRNA (ENSECAG00000043838.1)
Source: RNAcentral
GAUUCUGGAGCUGAACCUGGGGCUUGGACCAACUUCUGCCAAAGUCCAAGGCUGCAGCCACCCAAAGGCGCAGUUCCAUUAUCCUCAGGGCAGUUUUCCCUUCAGGCAGCUGUAAGGCGUCUAGAAUUCAUCCCAGGACACCAUCACUGCCUGUUCCUCAAGACUUUCUCCUGUGGAACAGCGUCAGGGCAUUGCUCUCUCUCUCUCUUUCUCUCUUUAAUUUACUCUCUCUCUAUUUUCCCAGCUGUAACAGAGGAAGAUCUCUUUUGAAACAGCGUGUUCUCUGGAUCCCCUUUGCUGCCCCUCCUUCUGCUGCGCGGGACCCUCCUGGACUGGCACUACCUUGCAGGCCCAGACAUUCCUGGAAGCAGGCACCAUGACUAAGCAGAGGAAUUAGAGGAUUAAAGCACAAAACCUGAGCAGAUACAUGGAAGAAUUUCAGACCUCAGAAUCUACUUCAGUGAUGUUUCAGGAGGAAAUGGACAAAUGAGAACAUCCCAAAAGGCAAGGCCAGGGCCACAGAAGACAUGGCGGAGGGAUUGCCUUCCUUCCUUUCCUUAUUUAACAAAGAAAUAUUAAAUUAGGAACAACUCUUUGCAGCUUAUUGAGUUGCUAACUGACAUGAAGUGUUGAAGAAAGUCCUGAAUAGAUUAUCAGUUCCUGAAACAAACAGUAUCAACAAGGCUCAUUGUCAUCACAAGAGAGAAACGAAUCAGUUCCCGGAUGUUCCUGGAUCAUAUAUCUGCCUCUGGAUUUAAGAAUUCUUGAAGUUCUGGAGCUACUUGAUUCUCUUUGUUUGAAGAGUGAAAUACCAAUAUAUUUCUUUUUAAUACUUUACAGUUUUUUUUUUAUUUUUUUUUAUUUUA